Long non-coding RNA from Armigeres subalbatus, 1596 nucleotides. RefSeq lists it as uncharacterized. The transcript has 3 exons. NCBI's taxonomy places the organism in Eukaryota, Metazoa, Arthropoda, Insecta, Diptera, Culicidae. The record is from RefSeq and is a predicted model, not a curated record.
UACUCGAGCCGAGGUGGUGCAACUACCCGAGCAUACGGGUCGGUCACUUGGAUCGAAGCAAGCAUCGUGAACGGCAGCAUUGUGCAGCACUUGAAAUCAAUACGCUACAAUUUGGCGCAGCCGAAAAGGAUCAGGAUGAGUGGAAGUGAGAUGUACCGAAUGCCGUUAGGUGCGUUCGACGAUAAAGUUGAUUCCCAAGAUUUGCGUCGUGAAUGGGAGGAGUGGCAUCGGGCCUUUGAGCUUUGUCUCCAGGUACGUAACAUCGACUCCCAACACGAAAAGUUCGUUACAAUGCUGUCAGUCGGAGGAAGGGGACUACAGCGUAUUUUCUUCAACUUGCGACCAGUCCCGGGGGAAGUUACACCAGAGCUAGUAAGAAUCCCUCUAAUGCCCUUGGAGAUACCGGAAUAUGACAACGCCGUUAAACGCUUGGAAAAAUUCUUUGUCGGCAAGCGGAAUGAGAGAGUGGAACUUGAAGUUUUCCGGUCGAUCAAGCAAACAACUGAGGAACCAUAAUGGAACCAUUCAACAACUUCAUACUCCGACUUCGCUCUCAAGCCGCAAGAUGUGAGUUUGCCGACCGCGAGGAGACCGAGAUCCUUCAACAAAUCACUAUGGGAGCUAAAGAUGAGAAAGUCAGGGACAAGGGGUUGGAAAACUCUAUGAACUUGGACGAGGUUAUAAACUACGUUAUAAACCGUGAAAUUUUAGUGAAACAAAGAGAGAAACUCAAACCAUUUCGAAAUGAGCCGGAUCUGAACAGCGUACAUUCGAGACAACUCCGGAACAACAAUAGAAGCCCGAAACGGAACUCGAAGGUGUAUCCACGAUUUGUGAAACGACGUGAUGUGAGACGUGCAGAAUCAGAAGGCAGUUAUCCGAGAAUGCAGUGCGAGCGCUGUGGAUCGUUCCGACAUAAUAAGGAUUUUUUGUGAGUGCUACGCCCGAGGAGCAACAUGCAAUCGCUGUGGGCAAAGAGGACAUUAUGCCAGAAAAUGUACGGGAAAUAGCGCGGAGCAGAGAGCAGGACGUUUUCCCAGACGUGUAGUUGAGUGCCAUACGGAAGAAACAAACUCGUUGGAACCCUCGGAAAUGGAACAUGGACAUGGAAGGAAGAAUUGCCUCAUCGCCCGACUUCUGAUGAUGUGGCUAAGGUGGAUUCUCGAGCUGAAACUCUUAAUGAUGGAUCAGUAUUAUGUCGGAUUGAUAAUGUCCCGAUAGAAUUCCUUGUUGACUCUGGAGCCUCAAUAAAUGACGUGACGGAGAAUGUGCGGAAGGAGAUAAGGUUGAGCAAUGCGAGAAUUUUCAAAAAGAAAUACAACUGUGGUCGACGAUUUCAUGCCUUCGCUAGUAAUAAACCACUAGAGGUUUCGGCUGUAUUUGAAGCCUGGAUAUCGGUAAACCCAUCCAAACUUACGACAUAUGCGGAAUUUUUCGUUGUCAAGGAAGCAUGUAAAUGCCUUUUGAGUAAAAGGACAUCUGAGGAACUGCGCGUUCUCAAAGUUGGGCUUGACGUUCUUCACGUGGAAUCAGGUUUCGAACCAUUUCCAAAGCGAACAUGGUACUAGCCCGUCAGAGGAAAAAGUAGCAGCGGUG